This 468-nucleotide ribosomal RNA is filed under the name uncultured bacterium. RNAcentral's name for it is "partial 16S ribosomal RNA". It matches the Rfam family "Bacterial small subunit ribosomal RNA", at positions 28 to 507 of the family's 1533-position model. The record is from RNAcentral.
GACGAACGCUGGCGGCGUGCUUAACACAUGCAAGUCGAACGGAAAGGCCCUGCUUUUGUGGGGUGCUCGAGUGGCGAACGGGUGAGUAACACGUGAGUAACCUGCCCUUGACUUUGGGAUAACUUCAGGAAACUGGGGCUAUUACCGGAUAUGAGCUCCUGCUGCGUGGUGGGGGUUGGAAAGUUUCGGCGGUUGUGGAUGGACUCGCGGGUUAUCCGCUUCUUGGUGGGGUAGUUGCUUCCCAGGGCUUUGACGGGUAGCCGGCCUGAGAGGGUGAACGGCCACAUUGGGCCUGAGGUAGGGCCCAGACGCCUACGGGAGGCAACAGGGGGGAAUAUUGCACAAUGGGCGGAAGCCUGAUGCAGCAACGCCGCGUGCGGGAUGACGGCCUUCGGGUUGUAAACCGCUUUCGCCUGUGACGAAGAGUGAGUGACGGUAAUGGGUAAAGAAGCACCGGCUAACUACGUG